RNAcentral lists this transfer RNA (71 nucleotides) under Myxococcus sp. MH1. RNAcentral describes it as "tRNA-Ser". The record is from RNAcentral. Lineage: Bacteria; Pseudomonadati; Myxococcota; Myxococcia; Myxococcales; Myxococcaceae.
GGUUGCGCGGUAAGGACCUGAUUCUGCUGAAGUUUUCGCACCGUCCGUCGCGGGUUCGAAUCCCGCCCUGG